GACGAACGCUGGCGGCGUGCUUAACACAUGCAAGUCGAACGGAAAGGCCCUGCUUUUGUGGGGUGCUCGAGUGGCGAACGGGUGAGUAACACGUGAGUAACCUGCCCUUGACUUUGGGAUAACUUCAGGAAACUGGGGCUAAUACCGGAUAGGAGCUCCUGCUGCAUGGUGGGGGUUGGAAAGUUUCGGCGGUUGGGGAUGGACUCGCGGCUUAUCAGCUUGUUGGUGGGGUAGUGGCUUACCAAGGCUUUGACGGGUAGCCGGCCUGGGAGGGUGACCGGCCACAUUGGGACUGAGGGACGGCCCAGACUCGUACGGGAGGCAGCAGUGGGGAAUAUUGCACAAUGGGCGGAAGCCUGAUGCAGCAACGCCGCGUGCGGGAUGACGGCCUUCGGGUUGUAAACCGCUGUCGCCUGUGACGAAGCGUGAGUGACGGUAAUGGGUAAAGAAGCACCGGCUAACUACGUG
This 468-nucleotide ribosomal RNA is filed under the name uncultured bacterium. Its description in RNAcentral is "partial 16S ribosomal RNA". It matches the Rfam family "Bacterial small subunit ribosomal RNA", at positions 28 to 507 of the family's 1533-position model. The record is from RNAcentral.